GACGAACCGUGCGAACGUUGUUCGGAAUCACUGGGCUUAAAGGGCGCGUAGGCGGGCUGCCGCGUCCGGGGUGAAAUCCCACGGCUCAACCGUGGAACUGCCUCGGAUACGGGCGGUCUUGAGGGGGGUAGGGGCACGCGGAACUGUGGGUGGAGCGGUGAAAUGCGUUGAUAUCGCUUGGAACGCCAAAGGUGAAAACAGGUUGCUGGGGUUGUGCCGACGCUGAGACACGAAAGCCAGGGGAGCAAACGGG
RNAcentral lists this ribosomal RNA (253 nucleotides) under uncultured bacterium. RNAcentral's name for it is "partial 16S ribosomal RNA". It matches the Rfam family "Bacterial small subunit ribosomal RNA", at positions 524 to 776 of the family's 1533-position model. The record is from RNAcentral.